Molecule: long non-coding RNA, 1480 nt
Organism: Tetranychus urticae (two-spotted spider mite)
Lineage: Eukaryota; Metazoa; Arthropoda; Arachnida; Trombidiformes; Tetranychidae
Source: RefSeq, a predicted model, not a curated record
GAAAUUGAUAGAUCGAUGAUCAGUUCAAAUUAUUGUAUUUGCGAUGAACGAUGUUAAAGUGAUUUAUGGAUAAGCUUUUAUUGUCAUCAUCUGAAGCUUGACUUGGAUUUCGUGGUAAACAGUGCUAAAUCUAAUUGCAAUCAGUGGUCCAACACAAUAAUUAUGAUAACAGUGUUACCAUUAAAUUGCCAUUUUCCCUGUUGUUGCUUGGUUCACUCGAGGAUUUGUUUGCGUUUGUUUGGUCCAUUUUAUUGAGAUGUACAGAUUAACGAACUUUAAAGUUAAAAAUAGAUUUGGUGGCAAUUAAUCAACUGAUGCUUCUACAAGUGUUUUACAAUUGUUAAUGACAUUGAAUGUAAUCAUGGAUGGUGACGAUAAUGAUUGCUGAAUUCAUUAUGUUGAUUGGUUUGUUAACAAUUGCAAGAAAAAUAUUGGACUUUUCACUUGCCUUACCUCACAAUCAAAUGUUGCUGCUUUUGUUGUUGUUAUGGAUUAUUUUUCCUACCUGAUCAUUCAUUACAGUUGGUAAAAUAUGUGUCCUUUUGUCUCAUAUGGCUACAAGUGAUAAUCCUGACGGCCAGCUAAAUCUAUCCUUUUAAUGUGUAGUUACUAGUCCACAUGAUUUACAGUUUUAUUAUUGUUUGAUUUUAUUAGAAAAUUUCACUUGAUUUUGUGAUUGCUGUGUAAUCCAGUUUAUUCAAGUUCACCUAAAAACUGAAAAUCCAUUGAAGACAAGGAUCGCCGGGAGAUAAUCCAGGAUAACCUCAAAUCUGUUGAGGUUGAAAAGGUAUCCGAAAUGUCAUGGUUAAAUUACUGACCUGAAAUAAGUGAUACUUACUAUUUUUGGCAACUCAUUUCAUAUUAUUACUGAGUUUACCUCGAUUGGACUCAAAAUGAAAUCAUUGGACAGCAAGUUGAUCAACUUUAACCUUAUCAUCGUUAUUAGUUGUUUUAUUUUAUCUGCAAAUGCUGAGACGGGUAAUGUGUUGGACAAUGGCUCUAAUACAAGUGACGAUAAACAAAUUUUAACAUUAAUCAAAUCAUUGUUCAUAAAUCAAAAGGCUACUCCUCGAUUAACUCUAGACUUUUUGGCCGAUCCAGCUUUAUUUGUGUCAAUAUUACAUGCUCUUGAAGUUGCUUAUUGGUCAAUGCCAUUUGGCUUCUUAUUAAUGCCAAUAAUUAAUCUGUUUCGAAUGCCAAAUCGACGACAAUGGAAAAGAUUUUUAAUGUUAUCAAGAUCUUUGAGAAGAAGUGAUUUAAAUCGUUAUCAAGAAAAUCUUAUAAAAGCCAUGGAGAGGUACUCAAUUGACCACGACAAUUAAAAACCCGAAUUACAAAGCUAUCCUGAAAUAUUGACAUAAGUUGAUAGCCAGUCAAUUAGAUGCACGCCAGCUAGUAAUGAGUGGAAAAAGAUUUUUUGAUUGAACUUUUUAAAUUUUAUUAUUGAAAUAAAUAAUUCAAUGAAAAAUUGGAAAAAUAU